This 770-nucleotide ribosomal RNA is filed under the name Salmonella enterica. Its description in RNAcentral is "partial 23S ribosomal RNA". It matches the Rfam family "Bacterial large subunit ribosomal RNA", at positions 711 to 1482 of the family's 2925-position model. The record is from RNAcentral. Lineage: Bacteria; Pseudomonadati; Pseudomonadota; Gammaproteobacteria; Enterobacterales; Enterobacteriaceae.
AGACCCGAAACCCGGUGAUCUAGCCAUGGGCAGGUUGAAGGUUGGGUAACACUAACUGGAGGACCGAACCGACUAAUGUUGAAAAAUUAGCGGAUGACCUGUGGCUGGGGGUGAAAGGCCAAUCAAACCGGGAGAUAGCUGGUUCUCCCCGAAAGCUAUUUAGGUAGCGCCUCGUGAAUUCAUCUCCGGGGGUAGAGCACUGUUUCGGCCAGGGGGCCAUCCCGGCUUACCAAUCCGAUGCAAACUGCGAAUACCGGAGAAUGUUAUCACGGGAGACACACGGCGGGUGCUAACGUCCGUCGUGAAGAGGGAAACAACCCAGACCGCCAGCUAAGGUCCCAAAGUCAUGGUUAAGUGGGAAACGAUGUGGGAAGGCCCAGACAGCCAGGAUGUUGGCUUAGAAGCAGCCAUCAUUUAAAGAAAGCGUAAUAGCUCACUGGUCGAGUCGGCCUGCGCGGAAGAUGUAACGGGGCUAAACCAUGCACCGAAGCUGCGGCAGCGACACUGAUGUGUUGUUGGGUAGGGGAGCGUUCUGUAAGCCGUUGAAGGUGGCCUGUGAGGGUUGCUGGAGGUAUCAGAAGUGCGAAUGCUGACAUAAGUAACGAUAAAGCGGGUGAAAAGCCCGCUCGCCGGAAGACCAAGGGUUCCUGUCCAACGUUAAUCGGGGCAGGGUGAGUCGACCCCUAAGGCGAGGCCGAAAGGCGUAGUCGAUGGGAAACGGGUUAAUAUUCCCGUACUUGGUGUUACUGCGAAGGGGGGACGGAGAAGGC